RNAcentral lists this ribosomal RNA (464 nucleotides) under uncultured bacterium. RNAcentral's name for it is "partial 16S ribosomal RNA". It matches the Rfam family "Bacterial small subunit ribosomal RNA", at positions 29 to 507 of the family's 1533-position model. The record is from RNAcentral.
ACGAACGCUGGCGGCGUGCUUAACACAUGCAAGUCGAACGGAAAGGCCCCUUUGGGGGUACUCGAGUGGCGACCGGGUGAGUAACACGUGAGUAACCUGCCCUUGACUUCGGGAUAACUUCAGGAAACUGGGGCUAAUACCGGAUAGGAAUCCUUGCUGCAUGGUGGGGGUUGGAAAGCUUCGGCGGUUUUGGAUGGACUCGCGGCUUAUCAGCUUGUUGGUGGGGUAGUGGCUUACCAAGGCUUUGACGGGUAGCCGGCCUGAGAGGGCGACCGGCCACAUUGGGACUGAGAUACGGCCCAGACUCCUACGGGAGGCAGCAGUGGGGAAUAUUGCACAAUGGGCGGAAGCCUGAUGCAGCAACGCCGCGUGCGGGAUGACGGCCUUCGGGUUGUAAACCGCUUUCAGCAGGGGCGAAGCUUGUGGUGAGGGUACCUGCAGAAGAAGCACCGGCUAACUACGUG